Molecule: ribosomal RNA, 1436 nt
Filed under: uncultured organism
Description: SSU rRNA
Rfam family: Bacterial small subunit ribosomal RNA
Source: RNAcentral
GUAUGAACGCUAGCUACAGGCUUAACACAUGCAAGUCGAGGGGCAGCAUGGUCUUAGCUUGCUAAGGCCGAUGGCGACCGGCGCACGGGUGAGUAACACGUAUCCAACCUGCCGUCUACUCUUGGACAGCCUUCUGAAAGGAAGAUUAAUACAAGAUGGCAUCAUGAGUCCGCAUGUUCACAUGAUUAAAGGUAUUCCGGUAGACGAUGGGGAUGCGUUCCAUUAGAUAGUAGGCGGGGUAACGGCCCACCUAGUCUUCGAUGGAUAGGGGUUCUGAGAGGAAGGUCCCCCACAUUGGAACUGAGACACGGUCCAAACUCCUACGGGAGGCAGCAGUGAGGAAUAUUGGUCAAUGGGCGAGAGCCUGAACCAGCCAAGUAGCGUGAAGGAUGACUGCCCUAUGGGUUGUAAACUUCUUUUAUAAAGGAAUAAAGUCGGGUAUGGAUACCCGUUUGCAUGUACUUUAUGAAUAAGGAUCGGCUAACUCCGUGCCAGCAGCCGCGGUAAUACGGAGGAUCCGAGCGUUAUCCGGAUUUAUUGGGUUUAAAGGGAGCGUAGAUGGAUGUUUAAGUCAGUUGUGAAAGUUUGCGGCUCAACCGUAAAAUUGCAGUUGAUACUGGAUAUCUUGAGUGCAGUUGAGGCAGGCGGAAUUCGUGGUGUAGCGGUGAAAUGCUUAGAUAUCACGAAGAACUCCGAUUGCGAAGGCAGCCUGCUAAGCUGCAACUGACAUUGAGGCUCGAAAGUGUGGGUAUCAAACAGGAUUAGAUACCCUGGUAGUCCACACGGUAAACGAUGAAUACUCGCUGUUUGCGAUAUACUGCAAGCGGCCAAGCGAAAGCGUUAAGUAUUCCACCUGGGGAGUACGCCGGCAACGGUGAAACUCAAAGGAAUUGACGGGGGCCCGCACAAGCGGAGGAACAUGUGGUUUAAUUCGAUGAUACGCGAGGAACCUUACCCGGGCUUAAAUUGCAGAUGAAUUACGGUGAAAGCCGUAAGCCGCAAGGCAUCUGUGAAGGUGCUGCAUGGUUGUCGUCAGCUCGUGCCGUGAGGUGUCGGCUUAAGUGCCAUAACGAGCGCAACCCUUGUUGUCAGUUACUAACAGGUUCCGCUGAGGACUCUGACAAGACUGCCAUCGUAAGAUGUGAGGAAGGUGGGGAUGACGUCAAAUCAGCACGGCCCUUACGUCCGGGGCUACACACGUGUUACAAUGGGGGGUACAGAGGGCCGCUACCACGCGAGUGGAUGCCAAUCCCCAAAACCUCUCUCAGUUCGGACUGGAGUCUGCAACCCGACUCCACGAAGCUGGAUUCGCUAGUAAUCGCGCAUCAGCCACGGCGCGGUGAAUACGUUCCCGGGCCUUGUACACACCGCCCGUCAAGCCAUGGGAGCCGGGGGUACCUGAAGUGCGUAACCGCGAGGAGCGCCCUAGGGUAAAA